This 449-nucleotide long non-coding RNA is filed under the name Olea europaea subsp. europaea. Lineage: Eukaryota; Viridiplantae; Streptophyta; Magnoliopsida; Lamiales; Oleaceae. The record is from RNAcentral.
UCUCUAGAACAUCGGAAGAAAUUGUACUUUUCCAAUAUCACAACAUGAGAGUAUAUUAAGAAGUAUAAUGUAUUUGAGGAAAAUCCUGCAAAAACCCCUGUUGAUACAAAUUUACACUUAGUCAAAAAUACGAGUGAAUCUGUGUCACAACUAAAGUAUUCACAAGUGAUAGGUAGUUUAAUGUAUAUUAUGAACUGCACUCGACUAGUCAUAGCUUUUGUUGUGAAUAAACCUAUUAGAUUCAUAAGCAAUCCAAGCCAAUAUCAUUGGAAGGCUUUAACAAGGGUUCUUAGGUAUUUGAACUAUACCUUAACCUAUAGAUUACACUUCUCAAAAUAUCCUGCGGUAUUGAAAGAAUAUUGUGAUGUGAAUUGGAUUUCUAACAUGAAGGAUGCUAAAUAUACUAGUAGUCAUAUAUUUAACAUUUGUGAAGCUGCUAUGUCAAGGAA